CCUAUGCAGUCCAGUGACAAGUCUGUACCCUUUCUGAAAUGUACAAAGCUUCUCCAGCUGCCCUUCUCCAUAGGGCCAAAUGCUCUGUAUGAGAUGUGGCUGUAGCAGGAGGUGGAGAAGAACGGGGUUAGCAGCUGAGAGGGCUGUGACUGACUGUAGUGUGGUGAAAUAAAUGAGCUCCAGGUGUUCGGCACCUUCAGGAAUUGGCCCUGCCUGAACAAGGACUGACUGAAUCCAAGGAGGCCUUCGGGAUUUGCCCGAUUAUGUUUAGUUUAUUGUAGUACUUUGGGAUCUGGCAUUUCAUUUGUUUGUUCUCUUCCUUGUUUGCCCGGAUUAAGCAAUGUUUCCCAGGCAGAAUAAAAAAACACUGCAUGUUCAGGACCCUUUUCAGUUGGAAGUGAGAGCCAUGGGAAACGCUUCAUUACCAACAGGUAGCAAAUAUUUAGUUCUCGCUUGGCCAGUUUGCAGGUGUGGAAUCCACUGUGAAAUGCACAAGAAAGAUGCACUUGCAGACUGGUGAUGUAGGCUUUGGUUAAGGCAGCUCACUGAAAAGUGGCCCUAGUUUAUUCUAUCCCCUGCCCCCCUUUAAUAUUAUGAGUUUUAUUUUCCUCCCUAAUAAUCAGUUACAGUGAGUGGGGCGCCACAGAGCAGCACGGCUCGUAAGUGUAUUCUUUUGCAAGACAAGAUUAGCCUUUACUGCAUCCUAAUCUCUCCCUGCAGAUGGUGACUAUAAUUCAGAAGGGCCAUUCUUUCCAGGCUUCAGUAAGGGGAGAGGUGGGCUUUAUUGUUAAGAGAUCACCGUCAAUCAAAGGUGCAGGAUGAUCAUAUGUUGUGGGAAUGCAUAUCUAGUACCCACAACAGACCUUUUGUCAGACUAACUUUGUUAUGAUCUCCCCCUUUUCCGGGGCUGUUUGGUUAUGGUUUUUGGUUCACAGCUUCUCCAGAGAAGUGAGUGAUGGAGAGGAUUCCAGAGCCACAUCCAAAAGAGUCCCCACGAGGAUCUUCUAGAAGGCAGCCUGUAACAGCCUUCUUGUGAAAGGCCAGGAGGACAGGCAGCAUUCUGCAUCAUAUUGCUCCAGAUGCUUAACCAUGUGAACAUCGAGAGCCAUAACAAAACUGCCAUUUCCAUGAUGGCUUUCUGAACUGGUUUGGUCACAUACUAAAAUGAAAAGAUGCUACAAGGAUGGACAGGGAAUGGGGAAAUAAACCCCACACAACAGCCUCUAGUGGUACAGUUCUCAGCACAGAAGCUCCACCUUUGCAGACAAACUUACUGCAACAAAGUACAGACUGUCUCUAAUUACAGACUGGAAAUAGAAUCUGGAAAACAUGAGGCAUGGUAGAAAUCCAAGGACACUGUAACACGAGAGGACAGCUUGAAAUUGUGAUCCCUUUUCAGCUUCACUGUCCGACCACAAAGGGGGCAGAUGAGAAGCAAUCUACUACUGAGCAACCACAAAUACGAACAGACUUCACACUGGAAAAAUCAGGAAGAAAAAGUCUAGCUUUGGGAGUGAAGAGAGACUUUGGAACUGCCCUCCCAAUAUGUGACUGCCUUCUGAUGAACCAGAAAUGGCUAAUACUACAAGAUGGACACACUCAGGAACUCCCCAUGGAAAUCAUGGCACCUCUUCCUUUUGUUAAGAUACUGGCUGGCACCACUUGUAUACUUUAUGCUAAUAAAACUUAAAUUGUA
Dermochelys coriacea (leatherback sea turtle) is the source of this 1696-nucleotide long non-coding RNA. RefSeq lists it as uncharacterized. NCBI's taxonomy places the organism in Eukaryota, Metazoa, Chordata, Testudines, Dermochelyidae. The record is from RefSeq and is a predicted model, not a curated record. The transcript has 2 exons.